RNAcentral lists this ribosomal RNA (254 nucleotides) under uncultured bacterium. RNAcentral describes it as "partial 16S ribosomal RNA". It matches the Rfam family "Bacterial small subunit ribosomal RNA", at positions 524 to 776 of the family's 1533-position model. The record is from RNAcentral.
UACGGAGGGGGCUAGCGUUGUUCGGAAUUACUGGGCGUAAAGGGCGCGCAGGCGGCUGCUCAAGUCAGGCGUGAAAGGCCUGGGCUCAACCCGGGAAUUGCGCUUGAGACUGGGCUGGCUUGAGUGCGGGAGAGGAUGGUGGAAUUCCCAGUGUAGAGGUGAAAUUCGUAGAUAUUCGCAAGAACACCAGUGGCGAAGGCGGCUCACUGGCCCGAUACUGACGCUGAGGCACGAAAGCGUGGGGAGCAAACAGG